RNAcentral lists this ribosomal RNA (440 nucleotides) under uncultured bacterium. Its description in RNAcentral is "bacterial SSU rRNA". It matches the Rfam family "Bacterial small subunit ribosomal RNA", at positions 958 to 1398 of the family's 1533-position model. The record is from RNAcentral.
AACGCGAAGAACCUUACCAGGGCUUGACAUGGGGUCGCCGUGUCCAGAGAUGGGCAUUCCCGCAAGGGCGACCUGCACAGGUGCUGCAUGGCUGUCGUCAGCUCGUGUCGUGAGAUGUUGGGUUAAGUCCCGCAACGAGCGCAACCCUUGCCUUCAGUUGCCAUCAGGUUUGGCUGGGCACUCUGAAGGAACUGCCGGUGACAAGCCGGAGGAAGGUGGGGAUGACGUCAAGUCCUCAUGGCCCUUAUGUCCUGGGCUACACACGUGCUACAAUGGCGGUGACAAUGGGAAGCCAGGUCGCGAGGCCGAGCCGAUCCUAAAAAGCCGUCUCAGUUCAGAUUGCACUCUGCAACUCGGGUGCAUGAAGGUGGAAUCGCUAGUAAUCGUGGAUCAGCAUGCCACGGUGAAUACGUUCCCGGGCCUUGUACACACCGCGCAUA